GAAAACAGAAUCCUCUUUAGGUAUUCUGAAUGAAAAAGGGAUUUUAGUACAGGCAAUUUAGUGCUUAUGGAACCGUUGGGAGGGUGGUCUGGUAGAACGGACGUCUGCAUAGUCAUGGCUGGUUCUGAGUCCGCAGCUAGCUUUUGGAAUUAGGAAACUGUGGGAACCACAGAAAAUAACUGACCAUUAUUGCACUGCUCAGCAUCAAAGCAGGUGAUUCUAAAGAAAUGAACAGAAACCACUGCAAAAAUCUCUCGUCUGCCGAAGUCCACGUGUUUACUCACUGCCAUCAAAGGACCAGUAAAAAGGCUUCUGUUUCUCUUCUGCUUUCUGGAUCUCAGAUGCAGGAAUGAUGGCCACCUGACCAAAGGACAGCAGCAGCAGAAUUUCCCAAGGAUUUCCUAGCAAACCCUUGAAAGGUCACACCAUUCAUUGGACUAAUGCAGUCAGUGCAUUUCCUUGG
Long non-coding RNA from Equus quagga, 463 nucleotides. RefSeq lists it as uncharacterized. The transcript has 3 exons. The record is from RefSeq and is a predicted model, not a curated record. NCBI's taxonomy places the organism in Eukaryota, Metazoa, Chordata, Mammalia, Perissodactyla, Equidae.